GUGGCCUAGUGGUUAGAGUGUCUGCCUCGGAUGCGGGAGGUUGUGGGUUCUAUCCCCGGUAAAGUCA
Molecule: non-coding RNA, 67 nt
Organism: Potamilus streckersoni
Lineage: Eukaryota; Metazoa; Mollusca; Bivalvia; Unionida; Unionidae
Source: the annotation of a GenBank genome assembly